RNAcentral lists this ribosomal RNA (440 nucleotides) under uncultured bacterium. RNAcentral describes it as "partial 16S ribosomal RNA". It matches the Rfam family "Bacterial small subunit ribosomal RNA", at positions 338 to 795 of the family's 1533-position model. The record is from RNAcentral.
CCUACGGGAGGCAGCAGUGGGGAAUAUUGCACAAUGGGGGGAACCUUGAUGCAGCAACGCCGCGUGGGUGAAGAAGUACUCCGGUAUGUAAAGCCCUGUCAGCAGGGAAGAAAAUGACGGUACCUGUCCAAGAAGCCCCGGCUAACUACGUGACAGCAGCCGCGGUAAUACGGAGGGGGCAAGCGUUAUCCGGAUUUACUGGGUGUAAAGUGAGCGUAGACGGCAAGGCAAGUCUGGAGUGAAAGCCCGUGGCGCAACCACGGGACUGCUUUGGAAACUGGGUUGCUGGAGUGCAGGAGGGGGAAGCGGAAUUCCUGGUGUAGCGGUGAAAUGCGUAGAUAUUAGGAGGAACACCGGUGGCGAAGGCGGCUUACUGGACUGUAACUGACGUUGAGGCUCGAAGGCGUGGGGAGCAAACAGGAUUAGAUACCCGAGUAGUC